GAAUAUACAAGUUAUUAUUUUUGUGUUUGAACGGAUGAACCCGUUGCCUACGUACCUUUCCAUGGAAGGUAAGGAUCAAAACGCCAUAGUUCGGCUAAAAGAUUUCCAAAAUAUGAAUGGAUUCAUUUUAAAACAAAAGCCCUAAGGUCUUUCGUUAUCCACGGGAGAAAACUCAACCUUAUACCAACAACAAGUCCACCAUGCGAGAAAAGCUUCAACUUGCUAGUGAGGGGUUAACC
This 239-nucleotide long non-coding RNA is filed under the name Lathyrus oleraceus (garden pea). Its description in RNAcentral is "Pisum sativum (pea) long non-coding RNA (PSAT_LNC027326)". Lineage: Eukaryota; Viridiplantae; Streptophyta; Magnoliopsida; Fabales; Fabaceae. The record is from RNAcentral.